CUCAGUCAAGGUCUUCCCCAGCCCAGCUACAAACAGACCCUCCCUUCGACCCUUCUAUUACAUCUCAACUGGCUGAACCUGAUGAUGUGACACCAAGCUGUUCUGAGAGUGCAUACAGUAAGGCAAAGAAGAGAGAGCUUCAUGCCUGGGAUGCAGUCAAGGAUGAGAUGCUUAAGGUGUCGUUGAAUGUUCAGCACCAAUCACUACCCAGUGUGUUGUCUGCCGAGAACAUGCUGAUUAUAGGUGCCUUGAGUGCAGCUCCACUGCAGUGUUUUGUGAGGUUUCCCUGAAGAGGACUUUCACUGCAUCUUCCUGAAAAGUGGAUUAAUGUUUACUAUGAGCCAUCCUCCCUGGGGUUAUUCUUAUAUUUACCAGAAGACCAUGGCACCCAUGCUGUGUACACAAAGAACAUGAAGGUCAUUGUCAGCACAGGACGGCUCUGCACCGUUACAGUCAACAUGUGUGCGUGUGAACCAGAAACCUGUACUCUGCUAAGGUAUGAGCUCUGGCCAGCAACAGCCGACAAGCCCCAGACAGCCUUCUCCAUCCCUCUGCUAGAGCUUUUUGUUUGUCUGUCACUGGAGUGUCAGGUUUCUGUUGAGGGUUUUUGCAACACCCCAUAUCCCAUUUUAGGCAUCACCACUUCCGACAAAGAAGUUUGGUUGAUAUUUGCCCACAUUAAAUGAUGGAACCAUAUGCCCAGCAUGUCCAAAGGCGGAUGGAGAUAUGAUUGUCACAUUGGAUGCCAACUUUGGCCUUGUGAGGAAGCAAAGCUCCAGUACAAGUGCAGUUGAGGUAUUACAUGGAACCCGCAUGUUUGUUGAUGAAGAGGAUGUAGAGGAAUACCUGCUAUCACAUCUUGACAGCUCAAAGCCUCAAGAGGACUGCAGUAAGCUGCUCUCAUUCAAGGUCUCCAACAGCUGGAAAGAAAACGACAUCAAGCCACUGUGAUGUUUAACCCACAUGUACCAGACAUUGUUCCUGC
Long non-coding RNA from Carassius carassius (crucian carp), 985 nucleotides. RefSeq lists it as uncharacterized. NCBI's taxonomy places the organism in Eukaryota, Metazoa, Chordata, Actinopteri, Cypriniformes, Cyprinidae. The transcript is spliced from 5 exons. The record is from RefSeq and is a predicted model, not a curated record.